GAUGAACGCUGGCGGCGUGCCUAAUACAUGCAAGUCGAGCGAACGGACGAGAAGCUUGCUUCUCUGAUGUUAGCGGCGGACGGGUGAGUAACACGUGGAUAACCUACCUAUAAGACUGGGAUAACUUCGGGAAACCGGAGCUAAUACCGGAUAAUAUUUUGAACCGCAUGGUUCAAAAGUGAAAGACGGUCUUGCUGUCACUUAUAGAUGGAUCAGCGCUGCAUUAGCUAGUUGGUAAGGUAACGGCUUACCAAGGCAACGAUGCAUAGCCGACCUGAGAGGGUGAUCGGCCACACUGGACCUGAGACACGGUCCAGACUCCUACGGGAGGCAGCAGUAGGGAAUCUUCCGCAAUGGGCGAAAGCCUGACGUAGCAACGCCGCGUGAGUGAUGAAGGUCUUCGGAUCGUAAAACUCUGUUAUUAGGGAAGAACAUAUGUGUAAGUAACUGUGCACAUCUUGACGGUACCUAAUCAGAAAGCCACGGCUAACUACGU
Molecule: ribosomal RNA, 496 nt
Filed under: uncultured bacterium
Lineage: Bacteria
Description: partial 16S ribosomal RNA
Rfam family: Bacterial small subunit ribosomal RNA
Source: RNAcentral